Molecule: ribosomal RNA, 425 nt
Filed under: uncultured bacterium
Lineage: Bacteria
Description: bacterial SSU rRNA
Rfam family: Bacterial small subunit ribosomal RNA
Source: RNAcentral
GUGGGGAAUAUUGCACAAUGGGCGAAAGCCUGAUGCAGCAACGCCGCGUGAGCGAUGAAGGCCUUCGGGUCGUAAAGCUCUGUCCUCAAGGAAGAUAAUGACGGUACUUGAGGAGGAAGCCCCGGCUAACUACGUGCCAGCAGCCGCGGUAAUACGUAGGGGGCUAGCGUUAUCCGGAUUUACUGGGCGUAAAGGGUGCGUAGGUGGUUUCUUAAGUCAGGAGUGAAAGGCUACGGCUCAACCGUAGUAAGCUCUUGAAACUGGGAAACUUGAGUGCAGGAGAGGAAAGUGGAAUUCCUAGUGUAGCGGUGAAAUGCGUAGAUAUUAGGAGGAACACCAGUAGCGAAGGCGGCUUUCUGGACUGUAACUGACACUGAGGCACGAAAGCGUGGGGAGCAAACAGGAUUAGAAACCCUAGUAGUCCC